Molecule: ribosomal RNA, 567 nt
Filed under: Triticum aestivum (bread wheat)
Lineage: Eukaryota; Viridiplantae; Streptophyta; Magnoliopsida; Poales; Poaceae
Description: partial small subunit ribosomal RNA
Source: RNAcentral
AUGUGUCUUCCAAAAGAUAAAGGAGGUAUGGGGUUUCGGGACCUCCAUGCUUUUAAUUUAGCCAUGCUAGCGAAACAAAGUUGGCGAAUGAUAACGCAUCCGGACACUCUUUCUGCUACUGUCUUAAGAGCAAAAUACUUUCCUGAUGGAAAUAUUUUAAAGGCAGGGCCAAAAAAGGGAUCAUCUUUUACGUGGCAGAGUAUCGUCGCUGGUCUGCAAACGUUCAGGAGAGGCCACAUUUGGAGAGUUGGUUCCGGUGAGAAAAUAAAUAUCUGGGAGGACCAUUGGGUACCUUCGAGUCCAACAAGGAUGAUCCACACAAGGAAAGGGAACGUCUUACUAAGAACGGUGAAUGAGUUGAUUGAUCCUAAUACAGGAGCCUGGGAUGUGGAACUUAUCAGGAUUAUUUUCCUUCCAAUUGAUGCAGAAAGAAUUUUGAGAAUUCCUAUAUCAGUGCAUCUAAACGAGGAUUUUGUAGCAUGGCAUAAGACCAAAUCACACUCAUUUUCUGUUCGGUCAGCCUACUACUCAGAAUGGGAACACCAGUUUGGUUCAAAAAAUUAUUAG